UUUCUAACUGGAAUCCGUAUGUAUCUCCACUGUAGACAACAGGCUGUGUCUUCAAGUUUGUCUUUUCCUUUGCCCGGAUAUAACUAUGCUGUUGGCUUCAAUCAUAUGGUUUGUUAUUGAAGGUUCUCUGUAUGAGACCGUCUCUUGCUGUAUGCUCUAUGUUCUGGGGCCUCUGAGGUUGUUUUGGGUGAAACCAUUAGCCACAGAUUUGCCAGAUAAAAUCUUGAAGUAUAUCAUGAUUUCACAUACUGAUCAUGCAGCAUUCAUGGCAGUGAUGUAUUCAGUACUUUUAGCUGAACAUUUUCCAAAUAUCAGCACAGUCUUCAGCUCAUCCAGCUUUGGUUUGCUUGUCCUGAUGUGUCUCCUCUUCAUUAUACAAUUGGCUAAAGAGAAGAAGAUGCUGUCAUACUCUGGAGAGUCGAGCAGAAAGAUGUACAGUAGAGUUCCAGAGUUUGUGGCUACUUGUGGCCUUUCAGGGCUGCCUUCAUUACAGCUCGCCCUCCUGCUCUACACUCAUUUUGCCUCCAGUGCAGUGUUCUUCAUUAUGACUCUUCCAGUACUUCAUUUGAUGUCUUAUAGAUUUUGUAAUGGAACAAAAAGUGCAGAUCAACAAUGUCAACGUUUUCUAUGUAAAUUAAUAUGGUUGGUGAUGAUUGUGAUGACUGGAGUAAUGGUGUAUUUUUAUACUAUGCUCUUGAGAAAUAAAGACGCUGAUGCAGGACCUGUCUGUGUGGCAGGAUUUGUUCAAGCCUUGUGGGUGCUUGCAUUUUCUAAAGUCCCAGUCUAUUAUCAGAAGCUUCACAUGAGGAAAAUAUUGUUCCUGUAUGGAUCAGCUGGUCUUGUUUUAGUGAACUCUGCUGCACUGAUGACAGAACUGAUAAUGAAAGCAGUUCAUGGUGUGCGUCUGGUGGGAGAUUUGCGAAUCGUUGUCUUUCCAUCUGAGUGGCUCUUUACUGUAGCACUGCUGGUCUUAUCCGUUGUUGCAUCCUCUGCCUGCACAGAGUCUCAGAAGGCUUCUCAUUUGCAGAUGCCGUCAGAUUAUAAUGGGACUCCUGGUACAAAUCAUACAAGUAUAGAUAUGACACAGAGGACAGAAGAAUCCCAUGAAAUGGAAACUCUGAGAAAUGCUGGGAACAGUGAGGAGCAUCAAGAAGAGGAGAUCAACUAACAGUGAACUGUACUGUUUAAAAGAUCUGACUGAACUUUUCUCACUGGGCAGAGGUUUUCAUGGUAUGAAACAUUUCAGAUGGUAAGACUGGCAAACAUGCCAUUUCUUUGUCUGUGUAACUAUUAGCAGCAGAGACUCUGGAUGUAUUUUUAUAUCUGUGAUGCUGUGCCAUUGAUAUUGUGG
Long non-coding RNA from Cyprinus carpio (common carp), 1351 nucleotides. The record is from Ensembl. Lineage: Eukaryota; Metazoa; Chordata; Actinopteri; Cypriniformes; Cyprinidae.